GCAAGUCGAACGUGAAGCCCAGAUUGAUUACUUCGGUAUGAUUUGUGGGUGGAAAGUGGCGAACGGGUGAGUAACACGUGGGUGACCUGCCUCAAAGGGGGGGAUAACCAUUGGAAACGAUGGCUAAUACCGCAUGUAUCUGCGGAUAUGGGAAUAUCGGUGGGAAAAGCUCCGGCGCUUAGAGAGGGGCCCGCGGUCGAUUAGCUAGUUGGUGAGGUAAUGGCUCACCAAGGCAACGAUCGAUAGCUGGUCUGAGAGGAGGAUC
This 265-nucleotide ribosomal RNA is filed under the name uncultured bacterium. RNAcentral describes it as "partial 16S ribosomal RNA". It matches the Rfam family "Bacterial small subunit ribosomal RNA", at positions 57 to 305 of the family's 1533-position model. The record is from RNAcentral.